ACAUGCAUAAUCUAGCAUGUACAUUGGAGAUUUCUAGCAGCCCUUUUUCUUCCUGUGUGAGCCAGCUUUUCGCUUGGACAUUCUGCAUGGCUGAGGGCUGCUGGGCUGUUGUGCCAUUGGCUGAAGAGUAGACAAAGCCCAGUGUUUUAGAGAGACUGCAGGCAGCAGAGAGCUCCUGCCUGCGCUGCCUUUUGCUUCUCAGCACUGAACAACUUCUCUGUUUUUGCACUGCUCUCAUCCUAGGGGUUUUGGAAUUGUUUAUAAGGCCUUCAACGCUGCCACAGGACAAGCGGUGGCUGUAAAGCAACUUAAUCUCCAGCACCAGGGCUGCGAGGACGUACUGAAAGAAAUCCUGGUCAUGAGUGAAAAUAAGAACGCCAAUAUUGUCACCUACCUAGAAAGCUACCUUGUCAAUGAGGCUGUCCUGCUGGUCUUGGAGUAUAUGGAUGGAGGCUCCUUAGGUGAUGUGGUCAGCGUGAGAAGGAUGGCUGUAGGACACAUAGCAACAGUGUGUCGGGAGUGCCUGCAAGGCCUGGCUUUCCUUCAUGCCAACCAGGUGAUCCAUAGAGAUAUCAAAAGUGACAACAUCCUUCUGGGCCGGGAUGGCUCCGUCAAGUUGGCUGAUUUUGGCCUCUGUGCUCUGCUCAGCCCUGAGCAGAGGAAACGGAGGUCGAUGGUCGGGACCACUUGCUGGAUGGCACCCGAGGUUGUGAGAAGAGAGCCUUACGGCCCCAAAGUGGACACCUGGUCCCUUGGCAUCGUGGGAAUAGAAAUGGCCACAGGAGAGCCUCCUUAUGUUCGGGAAACCAGUGACAGGGCCAACUUCCUGAUAGGCAAGCAAGGGGUACCAGACCUGCACAAGCUCAGGCUACCCCCUGGCUUGUGUGAAUUUCUGGGCUGCUGCCUGCAGAUGGAUGUGGACAGGCGAGGCUCUGCCAAGGAACUUCUGCAGCAUCCAUUUCUGCAAUCAGCGGAGCCUCUCUUAAGCCUCUUCUGACAGCCUUGAUUGCUGUCCUCCCUGCAGCCAGGUAAUGCAGGAAGCAAAAGAGAUGAGAAGGACCACCUGAGCACUUGGAGAACAGAGCCUCUGAGAGCAGGUAGAAAUCCUGAGGAGAGAGGGGCCAGGCAACAGGCAGCCAUCAGAGCAGGAAAGGAAGGUGGCAUCCCCUUUUCUCCCACCUGCUGAUCCUCCUUCUGCAUUUCUGCUUAGGACAGCAUUGCUGGAGGCCACAGAGUCACUACUGAUGUGCACUUUUCAGGAGCUGGAAGGGCAGCGUUUGGAGGCACAGCAGCUGCUGGCACAAGGGGCAAACUUCCUGGAUGAGGUAGAGAAGAAGCAGGAGGAAAGGCUGCUUGAGACGAAGCAGGAAGUUGCCACCAUGCAAGCUGAAUGAGAAGAGAUUCCAUGGGCCCCCGCCAUCUCGAAGGGCUUUUCAAAUGUAAACAAAGGAAAUGUGCAGUGAAGUAAUGCAGGAAGCAGAAGACAUGACCAGGAUCACUUCAGGAUUACACUCCGCAAUGGCAGCUUGGAGCUGCACUCACAA
Passer domesticus (house sparrow) is the source of this 1544-nucleotide RNA transcript. It is a transcript of the gene named serine/threonine-protein kinase PAK 3-like, with no coding region annotated. NCBI's taxonomy places the organism in Eukaryota, Metazoa, Chordata, Aves, Passeriformes, Passeridae. The transcript has 9 exons. The record is from RefSeq and is a predicted model, not a curated record.